Non-coding RNA from Aedes aegypti (yellow fever mosquito), 73 nucleotides. Lineage: Eukaryota; Metazoa; Arthropoda; Insecta; Diptera; Culicidae. The record is from Rfam.
CCUCUCAUGGCGUAGGGGUAACGCGCCCUAACUCGAGAUCAAGGUGUCGUGAGUUCGAUUCUCACUGAGAAGA